UACGGGGGGUGCAAGCGUUGUUCGGAUUUAUUGGGCGUAAAGCGCGUGUAGGCGGUUUCUUAAGUCUGAUGUGAAAGCCCUGGGCUCAACCCGGGAAGUGCAUUGGAUACUGGGAGACUUGAAUACGGGAGAGGGUAGUGGAAUUCCUAGUGUAGGAGUGAAAUCCGUAGAUAUUAGGAGGAACACCGGUGGCGAAGGCGGCUACCUGGACCGAUAUUGACGCUGAGACGCGAAAGCGUGGGUAGCAAACAGG
RNAcentral lists this ribosomal RNA (253 nucleotides) under uncultured bacterium. RNAcentral's name for it is "partial 16S ribosomal RNA". It matches the Rfam family "Bacterial small subunit ribosomal RNA", at positions 524 to 776 of the family's 1533-position model. The record is from RNAcentral.